This 88-nucleotide transfer RNA is filed under the name Cronartium ribicola 11-2. RNAcentral describes it as "tRNA-Leu (TAG) (tRNA-Leu-TAG-20-1)". It matches the Rfam family "tRNA". Rfam says of the family: Transfer RNA (tRNA) molecules are approximately 80 nucleotides in length. The record is from RNAcentral. Lineage: Eukaryota; Fungi; Basidiomycota; Pucciniomycetes; Pucciniales; Coleosporiaceae.
GGUCAGAUAGCCAAGUGGUUUAGGCAACACACCUAGAAUUGUGUCUCAGCUAACACUGAGGUCCCAGGUUCGAAUCUGGGUCUGAUCA